This 433-nucleotide ribosomal RNA is filed under the name uncultured bacterium. Its description in RNAcentral is "partial 16S ribosomal RNA". It matches the Rfam family "Bacterial small subunit ribosomal RNA", at positions 29 to 507 of the family's 1533-position model. The record is from RNAcentral.
AACGAACGCUGGCGGCAGGCUUAACACAUGCAAGUCGAGCGCAUCCUUCGGGGUGAGCGGCGGACGGGUGAGUAACGCGUGGGAACGUGCCCCCUUCUACGGAAUAGCCACGGGAAACUGAGAGUAAUGCCGUAUACGCCCGCAAGGGGAAAGAUUUAUCGGAGGAGGAUCGGCCCGCGUUUGAUUAGGUAGUUGGUGUGGUAACGGCCUACCAAGCCGACAAUCCAUAGCUGGGUUGAGAGGAUGAUUAGCCACUCCGAGACUGGGACACGGCCCAGACUCCUACGGGAGGCAGCAGUGGAGUAUCGUGGACAAUGGGGUCAAUCCUGAUGCUGCCAUGCCGCGUGAACGAUGAAGGCAGUAGGGUUCUAAAGAUCUUUCAGCUAGGAAGAUAAUGACGGUACCAGCAGAAGAAGCCCCGGCUAACUCCGUG